RNAcentral lists this long non-coding RNA (3443 nucleotides) under Canis lupus familiaris (dog). Its description in RNAcentral is "lncRNA (ENSCAFG00845030380.1)". The record is from RNAcentral. Lineage: Eukaryota; Metazoa; Chordata; Mammalia; Carnivora; Canidae.
GAAUGCAGAAUUCUUUUAAAGGGGAGUUUGAAUAUGUGAACACAACAGUAUGAAAUGCUGCAGCUGGAACAGCCCAUUAAUACUGGAUCUGAUGGUAUGAAUGGCCGCCAAGAUCAAUACCAGGAGAACUGCUGCCAUCCACAUCCACAGACGCAGGUUUGAAUCAAUGGGAACUUCGGAAAUCAUUGCAGACCACUAACAUCAUUGGUGUGACAGACUUCUGAUCACGAGGUGGUCCAAGGAGGAAAGAAAGAAAUUAACAGACAAAAUUCAGAUGAGAACCAGUCUUUUCCUCCUGGAGUCCAGAGAGUUACACAGGUACCCGUGGUUGAAUGCGGCCAGAAGCCGAAGCCGAAGCCAAAGAAUGCGGCCAGGAUCAUCCGAAGCAGGUGAUCCUCCUUCGGAUGCAUCAUUGAGUCAACAGCAGCCUAACCGUACAUCGCAUGCCUGUGUCACUCACCUCACUUCUUAUCACGGGGACAUUCGGUCACCCACACCAUCACCACAAGAAGAAGGGUGAGCUCAGUACAAGAAGAUAUUUUGAGAGAGGGAGACUGAGAGCACAUUCCCGUUACUUUUAUUAUAAUAUAUUGUUAUAAGUAUUCUAUUCUUUAUUAGUUACUGCUGCUAACCUCUCCCUGUGCCUAAUGUAUAAGCGUCACUUUGUCACAGGUGGGUAUGCAUAGGUACAAAUAAAGCAUAUGUUUGGUACUAUGUGUGAUUCGGGCACCUGCUGGGAGUCUUGGAAUGGUCCCUGCAGGUGAAGGGGCCUCAUGCUAAUGGUGAAGUCUCUUCUAAAGAGAAAUCUCAGACUAUUAGAUCAAUAUUUUAUUCUAAUGCUGAUCAACCGUCUCUAUAAAUGUCAUCUCUCCCCCACCUUCCAAAUAAAACAAGAUAAUGUUUUCCUACAAAAGAAUUGAGAAUAGGCCUGCCUAUUUUUGCUCCAGGGUAAUGGAAUAUAUUUAUUGAUGCAGAAUAAAUGACAUGAGUCAGAGUUCACUGUGGAGACUCCCAUAGCUCUUACUAAUCUUAUAAAGAUGAAGUGUGCUGGGCGUCUCAAUAAAUGAGAGCCAUCCAGUUCUUAAGAGCAUAUUCAAUUCAUAAUUUUAACCCACCAUCCCUGCAUUUUUCAGGGUCAAUAGCAAAGUGUGAUAUCCACCACUCUAUUUGGUCUUUAGCAAUCUCAUUUUUGUGGAUCUGAAUCUCAUCAGGGAAAAUGAACUCACGGAUAAAUCUGCAUAAUUACACAUACUGUCUGCUUGCAGCAAAAUAUCUAGCUGCUCCAAUUUCUCCUUCAUCCAUUGUUAUAGGGUCCAGGAAAAACACAAUGCAAAUUCCAUAGACAAGAGAAUGCUCGCCUCUAGAGUUCCAGAGAGAAUGUGGCUCGUGACAUUCAAGAUUUGAUUUGAGACUUCUUUCCCUCAUGUACAUUCUGAGCAAAUAAUACAGCAAUGUUAUUCCCGGGAACAAAUGCAAAUUCAUCACUGUUCAUGGCAAGAUACAGAGCACUGCAUAAAUGGCACAAGUUUGUCCAAUAGUUUUUACUUAAAUAUUAUGGGACUGAUGCCUACAAACAAUUUUUGAAAGCUUUUUUUAUUGAGCAAUAACAGAACUUCAGAAAGUAUAUGUACUUUCAGAAGUGCAGAGCUUGAUGAAUUAUUACAAAGCAAACACACAUAUGCAGCCUCCACCAGGGUCAAUAAAUAAAACAUCAGGGAUGUCCCCAGGACCCAGAUCUCUUGUGGUUUGCCUUUCUGAUCACCUACCCAUCCAUCUUAGCUUCUCCAGGUCCCAUGUCCUAACACCACAGGGCAGAUAGAAUUGUCACAGUAAGUAUAUUUGGUUGCCCUGCUGCUUUCAUUCUGAACUCACUUGGUUGGAGAGAGUCACCUAUCUUUGGUGUUUAUCAGCCAUGCAUUCAUUCCUGUUUUAUACUCAAUACACUUUGUCUUUGGCAUAUUUGGUACAAAUAUACCAAAGCUUAUUUUUGCCCAUUGUACUGAGCAUGUAGGUUGUAUCUGAUUUGGGGCUGUCUUGAUAAUGCUGCUAGUAAUACUUUUGUCCAUGCAUUUUGGUGCACUUGUAUAAUUCCUGGAUCGGAGGGUGUAAAUGUGUUCCAUUUUAGUAGAUAAUGACCAAUACUUUUCCACAGAGGUUAGACAGGUUUUCAUUCCCAUCAGAAGUGUGUGAGAAUUCCAGUAAGUCGAAAUCCUCACUGAUACUAGACAUUUGUCAGGCUUUUAAAUUUAUUAGCCAUCUGUAUGUAAGUUAUCUCGUUGUGGUUUUAAUUUGUACUUCUCUGGUGAAGGAGGUUGGAAAUAUUUUGAUAUAGUUAUUGGUUGUGGGUAUCAACCACCACUACACACUCCCUGAUAUUUAAAGGUGUCUUUUCAAGAAUCUUGCCAUUUUUCUAAUAGGUAUGAAUGUCAUUAGCUUAUUGAUUUGCAGAAUUCUUGUAUGUCCUGGAUACAAGCCUUUUGUUGGUUUUAUAUGUGCUAAUAUUUUCUCUCAUUCUAUGGUUUGUCUUUCUGUGUUCUUGAUAUAGUCUUUUGAUGAACAGAAAUUCCCAGUUUUAAUGUAGUCAAAUGAAUGAAUGUUUGAUUUUGUGUCUGUUGCUUUUGUGUUUGGUUUAAGAGAUCUUUGUUUACACAAACAGUAUGCUUUCUUAUAGGAAUCCCGUGACUUACCUUUGCAUAUAGCUCACCAAUUCACAUGAAACUGAUUUUUGUGUAUGGUGUGAGAUAAUAGUCAUCAUCAUUAUUUUUUUUCCUGGGUAAUAUCUGAUGAACCCAGCACCAAUUCAUUAAAAAGGGACCCUUUCCCCAACACAUUGCAGGGCCACCUGUGACAUAAGUCAGGUGUCCAUACAGCCAUGUCUUGGGGAGUUCUAUUCUGUUCCUUUGGUUGAUUUUUUUUCUAUCUCUGCUCCAACAGGAUAUUGAUAAAAUAACAAGGCAUUUUAUUCUAUCUGAUAGAGUAAUUUCUUUAAAUCCACCUGUUUUCUUAAAGAUUCUCUUGAAUAUUCCUGGCCGUUUACGUUUUCAACAUCAAUUUUAGAAUCUGCUGGUCAAAUAUCUUUUGAGAGUUUUAUCAGAGUUACACUGAAACUAUACUAACACCUUUGUAACAUUAAAACUUCAAUUCAUGGAGGUGCCUGGCUGGCUCAUCAGUGGAACAUGUGACUCUUGAUCUCAGGGGCAUGAGUUUGAGCACUACGUUGGGUAUAAAGAUUAUUUAAAAAUAAAAUAAAAAAAAAAGACUUCAGUUCAUGAACUAUGGUAUUUCCCAUUUUGCAUAUCUUUAAUUUACCCAAAUGCUGCUUUGUCCUUUAUACUGUUGAAGUUGAAUAUCUUUCACUAGAUUUAGCCUUCAUUAUUGUAUCUUUGGUUUCAUUUUUUUUUUAAGAUUUAUUUAUUUAUUUAUUUAUUUAUUUGAGACACACA